UUAAUAAGAAAAAGUGUUUGUGCCUGUAGAAUCUAUAAUUUUCAAACAUACCCUUCACUCCUAUCAAAAACACAUUAAUGGUCCAAGAUUUAAAAGAUUAGGCUCACAUUUAAAAAAAUCAGCGUUACCAUGCCUAAAUCCUAGCCUAAAUCUUUUAUCAUAUCACCAAACCAGUUAAACCCGUCCUGCUCCGCAGGAAGUAUAUCAAAUCUUAAGUGUAAACAAAAGUUAUCCGCAUUAAAAAUAUUCCGGAUAAACAAAUUUCUGGCUGCGUAGGUGUUUAUCGAAACCUAUAUUAUAUGUGGUACAGGAAGUGGUAGGUAUUUUUAUUUUUCCACUUCUGUGCAUUUUGCAAAUAUAUAAAAGAAUGAAUAUAGGAUUUUUUGCACAGUUCGCAAAGAUGAAAAUCUUAGUGUUGCUAGCAAGCCUCGUUUUGGCGUGUCAGUCAGGAAAUGUGCCUAUAAUUCUCCCCUCGCUUGAAAAUCAUCUACCGUAUAUGGGUCCCUUCAGGGAUGUAUGCAUAGAACAAUCCGGUGUUGACCCUAACGUGAUCGAUGAGAUCUUUAAAACGUGGGAAUUUCAAGAUACUAAAGAAGUAGUAACGUUUUUUGGCUGCGCUAUGGUUAUGGAGGGCGUUAUAUAUCCUACCAGCGUAAUAAACAAGGAACACCUAAAGGGUUCUAUGGAUUUCGAGAGCCCUGUAAUGGCACAUCACGUGUACCACCUUUGCAAAGGUACUCGACUGGAAGAGACCGUGGGCGAAACGGCUUUAAAGCUAGCUAAAUGCGUAGUGACUGAAAUACAACAGUUUUGAACUAUUGCACUUUUUUGCCAACAGUUUAUGUUAUUGUACCUUCUGUUAAGUGGAAAAUAAAAGUAUACUUAUCAUGUCA
Molecule: long non-coding RNA, 893 nt
Organism: Photinus pyralis (common eastern firefly)
Lineage: Eukaryota; Metazoa; Arthropoda; Insecta; Coleoptera; Lampyridae
Exons: 2
Source: RefSeq, a predicted model, not a curated record